UGUCUUGUGCUGUUACUGAAUCAGUUUUCUAGGUUCUUGUCGAGAGUUUAGGCUCUUACCAGCAGUUUAAUAAUCUUAUGCUGCUGAACCCACAUUUAAAAACUUAAAAUUAUGGGGAAGGUCAAGUGAGUACCCAUCUCUCAGCUCCAAAAACAAUCAAUUCUAGGUCAGGCAACCUUUUUACUCUAACAUCUAACUUAGUAUUCAGGUUUCCUGUUUGUUUAUAAUUGGUUUGUUCAAACAAGGUCUGUAUUUGGUUUUAAUCACAAGUUGUCCAUCUUUUUCCCCCUGAAAAAUUGGGUCCUUUGUCUUGUAAUUUUCAUAUUCUGGGUUGGCUCACUGUAACCCUGUGGUGUCUCUAAACACUUUUGUUCUUCAGAUCCCAAGGUUGGUUAUUUUGAAACACAAUUGCUGCCUCAUUCACCAGGUAUCUCACCUAAGUUCCUGAUCCUAAAACGUUACUGCUUGUAUGUACAUCAGCAAUCUCAUAUGUAUGUGCCCCAUUUGUAUCUGUUCUCUUAACCUUUGUUUCCCACUACAGCUGUACUUCUG
Molecule: long non-coding RNA, 552 nt
Filed under: Bos taurus (domestic cattle)
Lineage: Eukaryota; Metazoa; Chordata; Mammalia; Artiodactyla; Bovidae
Description: long non-coding RNA NONBTAT001225
Source: RNAcentral